GCUGUGUCUGGAAAUGCUACAGGAAGCAAUAAGACUUUUACAGAGCCCUGAGUCAGCAGGGGAAAAGCUGAAGAAGCUGUAGAGAGUGGGAGAAAACUCUCUAGGCAGGGAGGUGUGGAGUAGGCCAUGACUAAGCAGGUGACGGAUUAUAAAAGCCAGCUGAGAAGAAGAUUCACCAGUGAAUGUUAGGUGCCUCACCAAAGAGAGAAGAGGAUCCCCGUCCACAGGAGUCCAACAACCCUGUUCUGAGCUGGGUUCAGCUGUUGUGAAUAUCAGUAAUAUGGAGAAGAAAAGUUGAGAGAGCUGCUGUAGAAGCAUAACUAGGACCCCAAAUGGCUUCUGCUAUUUCCAUCUGGAAUUCAUUAAAACACCUCAUUGUUGCAGUACUUUACUUAUUCCAAUCUAUGAAAACUUCCAACCAGCUCUAAUGGAAAACAAAGAAACUAAAGCAAGGUCAAUUUUAUGUUAAAGAAACAUGUGCUUAUCUCAGUUCCUGGGUGCUUGGAGAAUAUUGUGAGUAACGAAGAACCCUACCUCAUUGGGCUAAAAUCUGCCCUCAGAUGAACGCUCACUGUUUCCAUUGACAUUUAAGGCCACCAGCACCCACAAACUAAGCCCAACAACCAAAAUUAGACCAACGUCUUCUGAUGCCCAUGCCAGUAGUUUUGGAAAUAAAAUGACUCUCAGCUUUGUAAAUGUAUCCAUAGUUUCAUGGAUUUGUA
Molecule: long non-coding RNA, 722 nt
Organism: Mauremys reevesii (Reeves's turtle)
Lineage: Eukaryota; Metazoa; Chordata; Testudines; Geoemydidae
Exons: 6
Source: RefSeq, a predicted model, not a curated record